Molecule: ribosomal RNA, 253 nt
Filed under: uncultured bacterium
Lineage: Bacteria
Description: partial 16S ribosomal RNA
Rfam family: Bacterial small subunit ribosomal RNA
Source: RNAcentral
UACGGAGGGGGCUAGCGUUAUUCGGAAUUACUGGGCGUAAAGCGUUCGUAGGCGGCUUUGUAAGUCAGAGGUGAAAGCCCACGACUCAAUCGUGGAACUGCCUUUGAGACUGGUUCGCUUGAAGAUGGGAGAGGUUAGUGGAAUUCCGAGUGUAGAGGUGAAAUUCGUAGAUAUUCGGAAGAACACCAGUGGCGAAGGCGGCUAACUGGACCAGUCUUGACGCUGAGGAACGAAAGCGUGGGGAGCAAACAGG